ACUCCUACGGGAGGCAGCAGUGGGAAUAUUGGACAAUGGGGCACCGUAGCAUCCAGCCAUGCCGCGUGAGUGAUGAAGGCCUUAGGGUUGUAAAGCUCUUUCAGCGAGGAGGAUAAUGACGUUACUCGCAGAAGAAGCCCGCGUACAUUCGUGCCAGCAGCCGCGGUAAUACGAAGGGCGUAGCGUUGUUCGGAAUCACUGGGCGUAAAGCGCACGUAGGCGGAUUGAUAAGUUAGGGGUGAAAUCCCGGGGCUCAACCUCGGAACUGCCUUUGAUACUGUCAGUCUUGAGUCCGAGAGAGGUGAGUGGAACUCCGAGUGUAGAGGUGAAAUUCGUAGAUAUUCGGAAGAACACCAGUGGCGAAGGCGGCUCACUGGCUCGGUACUGACGCUGAGGUGCGAAAGCGUGGGAGCAAACAGGAUUACUUACCCUGGUAGGCUCUGCUAGUC
Molecule: ribosomal RNA, 449 nt
Filed under: uncultured bacterium
Lineage: Bacteria
Description: bacterial SSU rRNA
Rfam family: Bacterial small subunit ribosomal RNA
Source: RNAcentral